RNAcentral lists this ribosomal RNA (389 nucleotides) under uncultured bacterium. RNAcentral describes it as "partial 16S ribosomal RNA". It matches the Rfam family "Bacterial small subunit ribosomal RNA", at positions 523 to 918 of the family's 1533-position model. The record is from RNAcentral.
AUACGGAGGACGCGAGCGUUAUCCGGAUUCAUUGGGUUUAAAGGGUGCGCAGGCGGCCGUGCAAGUCAGCGGUGAAAGCCCGGGGCUCAACCCCGGAAGUGCCGUUGAUACUGCGUGGCUGGAACGCGGUCGAGGCGGGCGGAACGUGGCGUGUAGCGGUGAAAUGCGUAGAUAUUAGGAGGAACACCGGGGGCGAAGGCGACUAGCUGGGCCGUAACUGACGCUGAGGCACGAAAGCGUGGGGAGCAAAUAGGAUUAGAUACCCUAGUAGUCCACGCCGUAAACGAUGAAUACUAAGUGUUGGAGAAAUUCAGUGCUGCAGUUAACGCAAUAAGUAUUCCGCCUGGGGAGUAUGCACGCAAGUGUGAAACUCAAAUGAAUUGACGGGG